UUUAAUCUCCCUGUACAGAGGCACCUGAAAGCUGUUUGUUCGGGAGGUGUGUACUUCACGUGUUUCUUCAAGCAGUCAUGCUUUAGAUUAUCCAACAACGUGGUCUUUUGGGUUCAUCUAAAAUCAGCAGCUAGUCCAAUUUUUAAUAAACUGUUUGAUUCACACCCUCCUCUAUAUUCUCAAAUGGUGUGUAGACAAGGAGUGAUUAUUAAUUUGAUCUUUUUUCCUGCAGAUGAAGAUUGCCAUAGCAGCUUUGGAUUAGAUUUCAUGAAUCAUCUAAUCAUUGCACCUAGCAUACCUUUGUGUGAUGGAAUUUGA
This 318-nucleotide long non-coding RNA is filed under the name Capra hircus (goat). RNAcentral describes it as "lncRNA (ENSCHIG00010009926.1)". Lineage: Eukaryota; Metazoa; Chordata; Mammalia; Artiodactyla; Bovidae. The record is from RNAcentral.